GAACUGAAGAGUUUGAUCAUGGCUCAGAUUGAACGCUGGCGGCAGGCCUAACACAUGCAAGUCGAACGGUAGCACAGAGAGCUUGCUCUCGGGUGACGAGUGGCGGACGGGUGAGUAAUGU
Molecule: ribosomal RNA, 121 nt
Filed under: Metapseudomonas otitidis
Lineage: Bacteria; Pseudomonadati; Pseudomonadota; Gammaproteobacteria; Pseudomonadales; Pseudomonadaceae
Description: partial 16S ribosomal RNA
Rfam family: Bacterial small subunit ribosomal RNA
Source: RNAcentral